This 3296-nucleotide long non-coding RNA is filed under the name Salvia miltiorrhiza (redroot sage). Its description in RNAcentral is "long non-coding RNA (SMIL_LNC000439)". The record is from RNAcentral. Lineage: Eukaryota; Viridiplantae; Streptophyta; Magnoliopsida; Lamiales; Lamiaceae.
GAAAUCUUAAAUACCAUCGUCAAAAAAUGUAAAUACCGUCGUAUAUCUAUCAUGUUAGUGUCCAUGCAAUUUUGUUUUUAAUUAAGUAUUCUUUCAUUCUAUUCUAACAACCUUUGCAUAUGAGAUAAAUACCUUCGUAAUGUUGAUGAAUAUCGUCGAUUACUUGAUUAAUACCAUCUCCUAAUAGUGUAAUACCGUUGCAUAUUUAUCAUUGUAGUGUAUAUAGACAUUGUUGAUAUUAUUAGGUGAGUUUUGCAUGUGGAGAACAUACCUUCGAUUAAUAAAUUAAUACCGUCGUCGAAUAUGUACAUACCCUCGUCGAAAUGGUAAAUACCAUUGCUUACUCAUUUAAUACCGCCCGAUUUCUAUCAUGAUAGUGUCCAUGCAAUUGUGUUGUAAUUAAGCGUUCUUUCAAUUAUUUGUAAAUACCUUCGAAUUAUAGUUAAAUACCUUCGGAAUGUCGAUAAACACCGUCGCAUAAUUGUUAAAUACCAUCGUGUAAUAUUUUAAUAUUUUCGCAUAUUCAUGAAUGAAGAUUUAAUUGAUGGGUUUUUCGUAAAUAAUUUGGUUUAGAGCGAUUAAUGAUUUGUGGUAUAAGCUAAUUUAUAGGAGAAUAUAUUAUUUGUAUUUUAAUUUAAUUUAUUCGUAAUUUACAGAUGACAGAGUGGAAAAAUGUCCUUGUGAGAAAUGGAGGAUAUUGGAAUGAUGUCUUAUAUUGUGGUGGAGGUGCUACAUUUGCUUAUGUUCAGACAAAUAACAUAAGCAUUUCGGAGUUAAGGCAAAAUAUCAAUUACUACUUGAUGGCAAAUUCACUGAGUACCGUCUACAAUUUAUACUAUCUAUCGAGAUCUCGAAGUGGCAGGAUCAUCCGAUCUCUUUUAAGUACUGAUGACCAACUUUCUCGACUUUGUGCCUUUGAGGUCGAGCCAGAGGUUUAUGUGACACAUGAUGGUGGCACUUCCCAAUCGGAGCAAGAAGUUUAUCGACCUUCGAUCGAGAUACCGUAUGCAUCUACUUAUGAGCACCCUCCUCAGCCCACUUCAUUCGAGGAGCCCGUCUCAAACCACAUGAGAGGUUUUGAUUGGUUUGCUGAUAAUAAUGAUGAUGAAGAGUAUGUUCCAUCAACAAACACUGAUGAUGAUGAAGAUGAUGAUGAUGAAGAAGCAGAGGAGCGUGAGUCUGCUCGAGUUGAUUAUGGCACAUUUGCUGAGCAUAUUGCUUGGAUUCGUCGGGAGGGAGGAAUCGGGCAGCUUAUGUCCAUGAUAAUGCAGACAAACCCACAAAGGCUUGAAGAAGAGUUGGGACCCGAACAAACUGCAGAAAUGAGCAAUUGGCUAGUUCCGGUGGUUCUGAAGGAUUUUUCCAUGAAUUUAUUUGCAGGUAAACUUGACAACAUACNUAAUAAUAAUAAUAAUAAUAAAUAUAUACACACAAAAUAAUUAUAACAACAACAACAACAACAACAACAACAACAACAACAACAACAAACAACAAUAAUAAUAAUAAUAAUAAUAAUAAUAAUAAUAAUAAUAAUAAUAAUAAUAAUAAAUAAUAAUAAAUAAUAAUAAUAAUAAUAAUAAUAAGGAAUAAUAAUAAUAAGGAAUAAUAAUAAAUAAUAACAACAACAACAAUAACAAUAACAAUAAAAAUAAAAUAAUAAUAAUAAUAAUAAUAAUAAUAAUAAUAAUAAUAAUCAUAAUAACAACAACAACAACAACAACAAUAAAAAUAACAAUAAUAAUAAAAAAAUAAUAAGGAUAAUAACAAUAAGGAUAAUAACAAUAAUAAUAAUAAUAAUAAUAAUAAUAAUAAUAAUAAUAAUAAUAAUAUUUAGUUUAGGGGAGACUAAUUACAUAAUUAAUGGUGGAAUAAAGUGGGCCCAAUAGAUAAAAGUAUAGUAAAUUUAAAAGCAAGGGAGGGUAUAAUUGUCCAAAAAGCAGAGUAGGAGUUUAUUUCGUGGACAAAUAUUUAAGGGCAAGUAGGAGUUUAUUUCGUGGACGGAGGGAGUAGUAUUUGUGAUUAGGGGGAUUUGCAAAAGUACCCAACACUUAGCAAAUGUCUACAAUUUUUAACAACUUUUUCAAUCAUCUACAAGUUUUAAUCAUUUUUAUUUUUUAAUAUAUUUUGUCAUCACACAUCUACACAGUUAUUUGUAGUUGUCAGAAUUCUCCAAUAAUUGUUCACGCGUGAGUUGAAGCAGUGUACUAUGAUUCUCUAUCAUUUGUUCUCUUAUGAUUCUCCCAUCACGUUUUGUGCCUAAAAUACCAUCGACUGAUAUCAGUUUGAAAUACCGCGCAUAUCUAAUAUUACACGAAAAUAAUAUUUACAGAUUUAAAGGAUGCAAAAGAUACUUUACACCAUAGAAGAUGUUGUCUAAAAAACUUAAAAUACCGUCGGAACCAAUGAGAAUACCGCCAGUCGAUAUUCUCAAAUAUUCAGAUGGUAUAAGGAUUAUGACAAACGGUAUUUUCUUUUCUUAACGACGGUAUUCAAUUUAUUUCCAACGGUAUUCUAAGUAUGUUUGACGCCUUUUACUUUCACUUUCACGUGAAUAUAAAGUUCUUCCAAGUACACUCAUGUGAAUAUAAAGUUAUUCCUAGUACAUUUACGGGUGGGUAAAUUAAACACAAAGGCCUCCAUAUAUGUUGAAAGGAUGAAUUGAAUAUGACACACUACAAUAUAAACAAGUUGUCUCAAAGGCCUCCAUAUUUGUUGAGUUAUAAUUCUUCUUCUUGGAAGCUUUCGGGUUCUCAGCUGCCAUUUCAUUGGAAAGUCGGGAGAAAAAGAAAUUCCAUCGCAUAUCAUCUAUCAACUAAAGGUAAUUUUUACUUUUAUUUUAAAUACUGUCACAUAUUUCAUAAAUACCGUUAUGUAAUAGUUUAAUACCGUUGCAUAUUUAUCGUUCUAGUGUACAUAGAAAUUGUUGCUAAUAUUAGGUAUUUUUUGCUUGUGGAAAAUAUAUCUUCGAGUAAUAGCAUAUUACUGUCAUAUAAUAUGUAAAAUAUCGUCAUAUAAUAUGUAAAUACAUUCGCAUAUCUAUCAUGUUAGUGUCCAUGCAAUUUUAUUUUUAAUUAAGUGUUCUUUCAUUGUAUUGUAAAUACCUUCGCAUAGGAGAUAAAUACCUCCGUAAUUUUGAUGAAUAUCGUUGAAUACUUGAUUAAUACCAUCGCCUAAUAGUUUAAUAUCGUUGCAUAUUUAUCAUUGUAGUGUACAUAGAACUUGUUGUUAUUAUUAGGUGAUAUUUGAAUGUGGAAAACAUACCUUCGAUUAAUAAAUUAAUACCGUCGUCGAAUAUG